AUUGAACGCUGGCGGCAUGCUUUACACAUGCAAGUCGAACGGUAACAGGCCGCAAGGUGCUGACGAGUGGCGAACGGGUGGGUAAUGCAUCGGAACGUGCCCAGUCGUGGGGGAUAACUAUCCGAAAGGAUAGCUAAUACCGCAUACGAUCUGCGGAUGAAAGCGGGGGACCUUCGGGCCUCGCGUGAUUGGAGCGGCCGAUGUCAGAGUAGGUAGUUGGUGGGGUAAAGUCUCACCAAGCCAACGAUCUGUAGCUGGUCUGAGAGGACGACCAGCCAACUGGGACUGAGACACGGCCCAGACUCCUACGGGAGGCAGCAGUGGGGAAUUUUGGACAAUGGGCGCAAGCCUGAUCCAGCAAUGCCGCGUGCAGGAAGAAGGCCUUCGGGUUGUAAACUGCUUUUGUACGGAACGAAACGGCUCUGGUUAAUACCUGGGGCUAAUGACGGUACCGUAAGAAUAAGCACCGGCUAACUACGUGCCAGCAGCCGCCGUAA
Molecule: ribosomal RNA, 497 nt
Filed under: uncultured bacterium
Lineage: Bacteria
Description: partial 16S ribosomal RNA
Rfam family: Bacterial small subunit ribosomal RNA
Source: RNAcentral